This 407-nucleotide ribosomal RNA is filed under the name uncultured bacterium. RNAcentral describes it as "partial 16S ribosomal RNA". It matches the Rfam family "Bacterial small subunit ribosomal RNA", at positions 30 to 526 of the family's 1533-position model. The record is from RNAcentral.
AUUGAACGCUAGCGGGAUGCCUUACACAUGCAAGUCGAACGGAGUGGCGAACGGGUGAGUAAUGUAUCGGACCGUGCCCAGUAGCGGGGGAUAACUACGCGAAAGCGUAGCUAAUACCGCAUACUAUUGGAGUGGCCGAUAUCUGAUUAGCUAGUUGGUGGGGUAACGGCCGACCAAGGCGACGAUCCGGAGCUGGUUUGAGAGGACGACCAGCAACACUGGGACUGAGACACGGUCCAGACUCCUACGGGAGGCAGCAGUGGGGAAUAUUGGACAAUGGGGGAAAGCCUGAUCCAGCCAUCCCGCGUGUGCGAUGAAGGCCUUCGGGUUGUAAAGCACUUUGAGCAGGGAAGCGUUACCAGCAGAAUAAGCACCGGCUAACUCCGUGCCAGCAGCCGCGGUAAUAC